This 381-nucleotide ribosomal RNA is filed under the name uncultured bacterium. Its description in RNAcentral is "bacterial SSU rRNA". It matches the Rfam family "Bacterial small subunit ribosomal RNA", at positions 29 to 402 of the family's 1533-position model. The record is from RNAcentral.
AUUGAACGCUGGCGGCAUGCCUUACACAUGCAAGUCGAACGUGAAAAGGGGGGCGAACUCCCGACGUAGAGUGGCGGGACGGGUGGAGCAACACAUCGGAACGUACCCACUAGUGGGGGACGAACCUCGAGAAAUCGAGGCUAAUACCGCAUACGACCCACGGGUGGAAAGACGGGGGACCGGCAAGGCCUCGCGCUAUUGGAGCGGCCGAUGUCCGAUUAGCUUGUUGGGUGGGGUAACGGCCUACCAAGGCAUCGACGGGUAGCUGGUCUGAGAGGACGACCAGCCACACUGGGACUGAGACACGGCCCAGACUCCUACGGGAGGCAGCAGUAGGGAAUCUUGCGCAAUGGGCGAAAGCCUGACGCAGCAACGCCGCGU